Dicentrarchus labrax (European seabass) is the source of this 3453-nucleotide long non-coding RNA. RefSeq lists it as uncharacterized. The record is from RefSeq and is a predicted model, not a curated record. The transcript is spliced from 2 exons. NCBI's taxonomy places the organism in Eukaryota, Metazoa, Chordata, Actinopteri, Moronidae.
ACUCAAUCUGAUGCGAUAGGCCCGUCUGUUCGCAGCGUCUUGUGAUGUUGGACGUUUUUACACAUGAAUAUUGUUUGUGUAAUGCAGUCAUAAUAUUUACGCAGGGACGCGGGAGGAGUGAGGUGGAAGCUCUGCCGAACUAUGAGCACAGAAACUCGGACGGGGACUUGAAGAUCGACUCCUGCAGUCAGUUUACCAUCGAAUGAUCCAGGAAUUAAGGCUGGAGUGGGCAGGCGUGCGGCUUUCGCCACAGGAAGCUGUGAAUUCUUUGGAGAAUGGAAGAUGUCUUAUGGGGAGACAUACUGGCCCCCCACCCCACCCACUCGCCACCCUAAAAUGACACCUGACCCCUUCAUGUGUUUAUAUCAGACCAUGGAAGUGAGAAAUAGUGAUGAGUCACUCUGGCUGUGUGUUUACACUCCAGAGUCACGCAAGGAAGGAAAUCAGCCACGGUCUGCUAAAAGUGGCGAGGUGAGAGAGAAUAGCUGCAGUCCCCCAGAGCUGCAGUGAUUUACCUCUCAGAGCCAGAAUUUAUUUCACGUCACGUCGGCUGUAAAGACCUUCGACCAACAGAACCCAGCAACAUUAGCGGCGCAGUAGUAGUAGUCGAGGAGAAGGUAACUCUGAUUGCGGCGAGGGCCAAAACAAGAGGUAGUGAGUCAAUGAGGAUAAACUGCAUGUAUAUAUACUGUAUGUGCGUCUAGUCCACUGCUACCAUACUGAUUAUUUUAAGAGAUAAAAAAUAUAAUAAGCGGGAUAAAUCAUAAAUUGAAGUAAAUUGAAUUUUAGAAUCUUAUUUUAAGUCUUAUUAGAUACAGAAUGUUGAGCACAUCCAGUAGCUUUCUUAUGAAGGCAGUCAUAGAAUGAAAACCUGUAUCUCCACGCAUUACAUGUUUCUUCAACUAACAAAAACAGUUUUCAAUGUGUAAUACAGCUUGAAACAUUUUCAGAAAACAUUUGUUCUCAGCUACAAGGGGAGCAUGAUCGCUCAAUUUAAUUUAAAAAUGAAAGUCACUAAAAGUUAGUUAGAGUUACAAGGAUCAGUAACAGUAAUUAUAUGCUAUUAUGAGUUCAACAGAAAUAAUAUUGCAUAUACUGUAUUGAUAUCAAGAUGAACUUAACAGUUGUAAUUUCAUCCACUAUUCAAAUUUCUGGUUAUGAUUUUCUGCAAAAGAAAACUUGUAAUCAAACAACUGAAAGCCCUUUAGACCUACCUAAGAUUUAUUAUACAGCACUUUAUUUUUUAUAGUUAAAAGCCAGUUUGAUAUUAUAUCUGCCUAUUUGAUUAUGUCUGCCAUUGUGUCAGGUACAUCCCAAAAAAUAAAAGCAUAGUUAGCAAUCUCUAAUGAUUGAACAAGAUUUAAUUAGUUAAAAAAAACGAAUGGCUUGGAUUGUAAUAAAACAGACAAGUUAUAUUUUUAAGUGAGGAGUUAGACAUGGUGCUUAGUCUUUACACUCAUCCCUAAAACUGUCUUGACACAGCAGCUUACACAUCAUACUACAGUCUGUGCAUGAGAUUAUAUUGACAAUAACUGAUAUGCCUUACAGUUUACUAUAUACUUUAUGACCUGAAAAAUACAAUACUAGAAUGACAAUAUGCUCACUGCAUCAUAAGAUGUGUUUAUGAUCAAUGCUAAUGAGUGAUCUUACCAUAUCACUGCUGUAUGAACCACACUGGACACGUAUUGCAUUGUGCUCUGGAGGACUUCAUGUUCAAUGUACUGUGAGGUGUGUUUACUGUGGCUAAGACCAGUGUUUCAAACAUAGUGUCAUUGUCGUCCUCCACACUGAGUGACUUUAGAUUGCACAACUGUUGUUUUCAAGAGACAGCUGUAGUUACUGCAGUUGUGCUCUGUAAAUAAAAGUGACACUUUAUUUCUUUCCAUCAUUACAUUGGUGCAAGUAACUUCAUCGCUGACUGUAGCGAAUAUCCUGUUACACACCCCCAUAUACACCGCCACAAUGAGAGAGUCAGCAGCUCUUAUUUUGGCUGAUCUCCCCUGAAUUGUAAGUCCUGUCAGGGGCUUUGAUUGAUAGUUGUGUUUAUCACCAUAUUAUUAAGUAAUCAGGCUCACCACAGCUGGGCCUGAAGCUCCUUAAUUCCAGCUAAAGCACACGGCUUCAUGCUAAUUAAAGGUUUGGCGAAAGUGUUUAUUUUUGUGAAUUUUUAAAAUAUAGUUGUCUGUGUUUUUAUGAGAGUGCGCUGAUUGUUGCAUUUGUGUCCUCUCUGGAACAUUUAGUAGCAACCUUUAGUGUUGCAUCUUCAUUAUGCUUUUCCAUUACAUAAUAAUAUACUGUUUUAAAUUGCUGCACAAUGACAAAUAACGUGCACACAGUACAGUAUAUCUGUAUAUAACAUAAGAGGGUCAUUUAGUCUAUGUUCUGUGUAUCAGCAGAGGUUUCCUCUCGCUUCGUUAAUAGAGCCUGCGGCAGGCUGCGUUUGUGUAUUCCUGAGGUAAACACAGUCAUGGCAAAGUGGACAUGCUGCUGAGUGUGUCCUGACUGGAGACAGAGAGCACUGUGGCACUGUACUGACUGAGACACUGUCAGCUCUCUAGAGGUAGGGUUAAUGUGAUGAAUUGCCAUUUGGUAAUGGGCCAUGUAUUAGAGUGAAAUAGCUCUUUUAAAAGCCCAAGCUCGAGCCGUUGCUAUGGGCAAUUUGAUUCAGGAAUCAAUCAGGUGGCAGAUGUUUCAUGUUGGAUCAGUCAACUCUGUCUUGCUCUCUUUCUUUCAACCAAAUGAAGGAAGAAAUGCUUGAGUGACUGCAUGUAGAAAUCAAAUGUAAAUGUAAAUUCAGGCAGUCAAAAACACCAGUGAUGCCAUAUAUGUAUGUAUGUAUGUAUGUAUGUAUGUAUGUAUGUAUGUAUAUUUAUUUUUUAUCUUGGACAAAAACAAUUAGGGCCAAUUUUUGGAACUGUAUGCAUAAACUGUUAGAUCCUUAAAUAGUAAGUAGAAGAAGUAGAAAAAUGCAAUGCUAUUUUUUUCUUACUGUGAAAACUGUAGACUUUAGGCUCAACAGACUGCUAGCCAGCGAGGAUUUUACUGUACUUAUCAAUGAGAACCUGUAGUACACAUUUCUACACACUGGAGAAAUGAUUGUCCACAAAAUAGAUAUCCAGUAAUACAAUUACCUAAAUGCUAAAUGUGUGUGUCCUGUACAUUUUCUAUCGGCAAAGUGAAAUACAUCAAAAGCAUAGUCCAUGCAAAUAUUUUAAUUAUGAGGAUGUUUUGUGCCAUAAUUGUUGCCAUAUUUCGUUUUACUGUGUCCCUUUCAUCAUUAUCUGUUGCAUACUCUUUGUAUUUUUUUCUUUUAAAAUACUUAAUUUAUAAUGUUUUUCACAUUGUUGUUGUUUGUUCAUAUGUUCUGGUGCUACAGUCUUUUGAACACUGUUAAUAUUGGAAUGAGUUUUUGUUUUCAAUUUUAAUUACAGUAAUAAAUUUCACUUAACGCAA